UGCCAACAUUGUUUCAGGAAGAUUUUACAACACCAGCUGUCAGCUCUAGAUAUACUGUUGCCACUUUCGACUUCAUCUAGAAGUGUCCUUCUACCCAAUGCUCUCAACCGCGAUUGAAAAAUACUACAUAAAAUGAGUCUCGGAUCUCUGCCCACCUUAUGUGUUUUGGCGUUUAAAAACCUCUCCCAUGGAUUGGCUCUCAGUCCUUAGGGGUGUGCUUAACAUACGUCAAUCUUCAAGACAACUAAUAUCCCUUAAUGAUUAGGAACCUCGAUUUUUUUUUCCAAGAAAAUAACCAUAUAACUAAAUCAUUAAACUUCCCUUAAGU
Molecule: long non-coding RNA, 328 nt
Filed under: Homo sapiens (human)
Lineage: Eukaryota; Metazoa; Chordata; Mammalia; Primates; Hominidae
Description: HSALNT0078538
Source: RNAcentral